Molecule: transfer RNA, 87 nt
Filed under: Trichechus manatus latirostris (Florida manatee)
Lineage: Eukaryota; Metazoa; Chordata; Mammalia; Sirenia; Trichechidae
Description: tRNA-SeC (TCA) (tRNA-SeC-TCA-2-1)
Rfam family: Selenocysteine transfer RNA
Source: RNAcentral
GCCUGGAUGAUCCUUAGUGGUCUGGGGUGCAGGCUUCAAACCUGUAGCUGUCUAGUGACAGAGUGGUCCAAUUCUACCUUUUAGGCA